Molecule: non-coding RNA, 76 nt
Organism: Trichonephila clavipes
Lineage: Eukaryota; Metazoa; Arthropoda; Arachnida; Araneae; Nephilidae
Source: the annotation of a GenBank genome assembly
UCCAUAUGUCCCUUAGCGCCGUGGGAAGCGCGUUGGACUUCCAUUCAAAAGUCGUGAUUUCGAAUCUCAUCUGGAA